GAUGAACGCUGGCGGCGUGCUUAACACAUGCAAGUCGAACGAAGCACUUUAUUUGAUUUCUUCGGAAUGAAGAUUUUGUGACUGAGUGGCGGACGGGUGAGUAACGCGUGGGUAACCUGCCUCAUACAGGGGGAUAACAGUUGGAAACGACUGCUAAUACCGCAUAAGCGCACAGGGUCGCAUGACCUGGUGUGAAAAACUCCGGUGGUAUGAGAUGGACCCGCGUCUGAUUAGCCAGUUGGUGGGGUAACGGCCUACCAAAGCGACGAUCAGUAGCCGACCUGAGAGGGUGACCGGCCACAUUGGGACUGAGACACGGCCCAAACUCCUACGGGAGGCAGCAGUGGGGAAUAUUGCACAAUGGGGGAAACCCUGAUGCAGCGACGCCGCGUGAGCGAAGAAGUAUUUCGGUAUGUAAAGCUCUAUCAGCAGGGAAGAAGAAAUGACGGUACCUGACUAAGAAGCACCGGC
RNAcentral lists this ribosomal RNA (471 nucleotides) under uncultured bacterium. Its description in RNAcentral is "bacterial SSU rRNA". It matches the Rfam family "Bacterial small subunit ribosomal RNA", at positions 28 to 497 of the family's 1533-position model. The record is from RNAcentral.